Molecule: long non-coding RNA, 2514 nt
Filed under: Homo sapiens (human)
Lineage: Eukaryota; Metazoa; Chordata; Mammalia; Primates; Hominidae
Description: lncAB275.1
Source: RNAcentral
GGGAGGACGCGCGGGCGCCAGUCGGGGGACCCUUGCCGGGAGCCGGGCGGAAAAGGACGGGCCCGGAGCUGGCGGGGAGGAGACGGGAAGGAGCGCGGCGCCCGCCCCCACCACCGUUUCGCUGCCCCUUGUGGUGCCCCGCCAGAGGGAGACGCGAGUCGGGCCCUGGCGUCGGGGCAGCGGAGCCGACGUGGCCCGCGGGGUCCCAGCGCCGCGCCCGGGAGCAUUGCAGCCGCCCGCGCCCAGUCCAGCCAAGCCGGGACACUGCCCUGGGGUUCGGCGGUGGAGCUUUUCAGGGUCUCUGCCCCCUGCCCCCCACCCCCCGGUCGCACCCCGGGCACACGUUCUUAGGGCCUCUUCGUCCUGGUGUUUCCGUCUCCGGAGAUACAGAGGCCAUUCCUCUCCGACGACUCCCACCCCUUUGGAACCGGGUUUAGCUAAAGUGACUACAGGGCUGGAUCCGAAAAUGAACACCUCCUGCGCCGGGUCUAUGCAGCCUACUCCUCGCGCGUUAGCGAAGAAAUGCGCUUCGGCCUGGGAGGGCGCGCCAGAGUCCGUCUUCCUGGCCAGUUUUGUGUGGUGGAAAGGAAUGACUGCUGAUGCCGGCCGGGUGACUUGGAUUUUAAUUCUAGCUGUUUUCAGUUAGCUCUGCGCUUCAGCGGACUCCUCUGUUAACGGAAAAGGUUAUCCUAGGGGAGCCUUUCAGCCUCCAAAAUGCGGGAUGCUCUGGCCUCUGCAGUCAGAAUGUGCAUGCAUCAGGGCUUUUGCGGAAGUUUCCUCACGUGAACGCUGCAGGCUGGGACCACCGGGGUAGCCUCUGCGUCCCCUCCCAGGCCCGUAGAAACGCCGCACAUGAGGAAGCGACGAUGUUCUGUAAUUUGCACUGGCACUUUCUUUUUAGACAGAUGAAAACUUUGGGAAAUUCCUAAUUGUGUGUGUGCAUGUUUGUACGUUUGGAAGGGAGUGGAGAACUUUUAAAAGUUUUUCUUCUGGAGUUUUGCAAAUGUUUCCAAAUUGAGGAAUUUUUUUUUUUAACCCUUGGGUCCCCGCCUCCCCACUGCUCUCUCCACCCCAGUGCUGCUCCUCGGCCUUCUUGUGGGUCCCCACACCUCUUUACACAGCCACACGCCCAGGGAGCAGAUGAGGAGGCCACAGCCCAGCCCCUGCGCUCCCAUUUCAAACUAUGAGCCUGAGAUUAAUCAGCCACCUUCUCCUGAGUCCUCAACACCCUUAUUUAGGCUGUUUGUUUCCAUUGCUUAAUUAUUGACUCCAACGAGUGCUACCUUAACCCAUCCUGCCGGCCCGAAGUCUAGUGUGGGGAGCCCGAGAGCGGAGGGCCUGUGCCAUCCCUGGAAGAACCCUUCCUCCAGCUUUAGUCUCUCUCUCUAAGAAAUCCAGCCAUCAAGUGGUUUAAAAGAAAGUGUCUACUUUAGAAGCUUUGGUCGUUUGCUGAAAUAGCCACCCUUUCAGUGCUAGCCCUUGGGCUGGAAUUUAAGUCCAGGGGUCUGAUCGAGCCAGAAAGUAGGUGUCAGCGUGGCUUCCGGAAGUCCGUUGUCACUUGGAUUUGACAAGGGACAAGCCGACCUGCUGGUUUCUGGGCUCCUGCUCGCUGUGCGCUCUGCGCUGUCUGCAGGGAUUGGUGCCCGCGGAGUGCGCUUUGUCUGGAGAAACUCAGUGCUCGAAGAGUGAGGAGACCGGGAGGAAACCUUCCCCCUGCAAAGCUUAUCUCCCUUCCCUCUCAUCAGAGGCGGGGCCCCGCAAGACACAAGGGAUUUCCCCGCAGAAUGAACCAAGGCCUCCCCAGGACAUGGGGACAGUUCUGCUGUGCAAAGCCUGAAUUCACGUUUCUUUCCUAAAGUGGCUCCCAGUCUCUCUGCAGCCUUGGCCUCUCUUUGAAUCCCAACCCUGACUUCCCUGGUGUCUGUUGGCCACUCCCUUCUGGGAGCCGGCAGGUGAAACCCUGACCUGUGAGCCCGGCCUGGGGCUCUCCAGGCUCUGGGCCCCCUACCCUCCCGAUCUGUGGCCCUCACUCCUCCUGGGCGAGGCUGUUUGUGACGCGGUGUGUCCAAAUGCACACAAGCCGCAAACCAAACUUAAAAAAGCGUAGAGGACACAUUCUCUUCUCCUACCUUAAAAAAUACACCAUGGUAUCUGGAAAGCCAGGUUCCAGUUUAGAAUUCUCAGGCUAGGCCGGGCACAGUGGUUCACGCCUGUAAUCCCAAAACUUCCAAAGCUGACAUGGCAGGAUUGCUUGAGCCCAGGACCUCGAGACCAGCCUGGGCAUUAUAGUGAGACCCUUGUCUCUACAAAAAGUUAAAAAAUUAGCCAGGCAUGGUGGUACAUGCCUGUACCCAGCUACUCCAGAGUCUGAGGUGGGAGGAUUGAUUGCUUGAACCUGGGAGGUGGAGGUUGCUGUGAGCUGUGAUCAUGUCACUGCACUCCAGCCAGGGUGACAGAGUGAGACCGCGUCUCAAUAAAAAUAAAAUAAAAUAAAAUAAAAAAGAAAUCGGUAGA